GUCUACGGCUGUGCUACCCUGAACAAGCCCAAUUCCAUCUGAUCUCGGAAAUUAAGCAGAUAAGGCCUGGUUAGUACUUGGAUGGGAGGCUAUCUAGGAAGACCAGAUGCUGUAGACG
Molecule: ribosomal RNA, 118 nt
Filed under: Pteropus alecto (black flying fox)
Lineage: Eukaryota; Metazoa; Chordata; Mammalia; Chiroptera; Pteropodidae
Source: RNAcentral